CCUACGGGAGGCAGCAGUGGGGAAUAUUGGGCAAUGGAGGCAACUCUGACCCAGCAACGCCGCGUGAAUGAUGAAGGUCUUCGGAUUGUAAAGUUCUGUGAUGGGGGAUGAACACAAUGACGGUACCCCAAUAGCAAGCCACGGCUAACUACGUGCCAGCAGCCGCGUUAAUACGUAGGUGGCAAGCGUUAUACGGAAUGACUGGGCGUAAAGGUGCGUAGGUGGUUUAGUAAGUUGGCGGUGUAAUUCCCGGGCUCAACAUCGGCGCUACCUCCAAAACUAUUAGACUAGAGUGCAGGAGGGGUAAGUGGAAUUCCUAGUGUAGCGGUGGAAUGCGUAGAUAUUAGGAGGAACAUCAGGGGCGAAGGCGACUUACUGGACUGUAACUGACACUGAGGCACGAAAGCGUGGGGAGCAAACAGGAUUAGAUACCCUUGUAGUC
This 442-nucleotide ribosomal RNA is filed under the name uncultured bacterium. Its description in RNAcentral is "partial 16S ribosomal RNA". It matches the Rfam family "Bacterial small subunit ribosomal RNA", at positions 338 to 795 of the family's 1533-position model. The record is from RNAcentral.